Phalaenopsis equestris is the source of this 1046-nucleotide long non-coding RNA. RefSeq lists it as uncharacterized. Lineage: Eukaryota; Viridiplantae; Streptophyta; Magnoliopsida; Asparagales; Orchidaceae. The transcript is spliced from 3 exons. The record is from RefSeq and is a predicted model, not a curated record.
CCGGAUCAGCUGCUUAUCACCAGAUUAUCAGGAUAAACAGCUUAUCAGGAUAAGCUGCAGCUGCCCAAAACAGACCCUGAAACUUGCCAAACUUGUAUUGGAAAUUCAUAAUAGUUCUUUAUUUUUAUGUUUAUUUAUAACAAUCAAGAACAGCUUAUAAAUAUGUGUUGUUUUGUAUAUCGGGCCAGAUUUUGGUUUUAGAAUUACAAGUUCCUUCCUUUUGAGAAGGUUGUGCUACCAAUUCAUCUUCCUUGCAACUGUAUCUUGUAGUUGGCAGCCUAGAUUGUCUUUGCCUUAUGUAUCCUUGUGCUUCCUUUGCAUCAAUAAUAUUCGUUUUGCUGUUCUUGGCCUCUAGAAUUCUUCUCAGCAAUUCUUGAUUGUUAUUUUGCUGAAAUUCUACUCAUAUCCUUUGCUGGUAUCAGUCGUCUUGUCAGCCAAACAUUUCCAUGUCUGGUAGGUUAGUGGGGUAACUGUUUUAUCAGAACAUGAGUGAAUGGCUUUUGAAUAGUUUUGUUAUUCUGAAAAAAUUGUUGGCUCAAUUUGUUAUUCCGUGAAACAAUUCUAAAUUUGCAAUUCUAAAACUGCAUUAUUUUGUACAUUUUCUUACACUUGCAUGCUGCACGGGGAUGUUGUGGUGGAAAGAAAUAUGCUGCUUAUCUACAUGUAUUAAUGAAUUUUGUAGAUAUGUUAGUUUAUGCUCUUUAAAGUAACCAGCAAACUUUCUUGUAGGUGAGGUUUGGCGGCUUAAUCAUAUUUGAUAAUGUUCUAUGGCACGGAAAAGUUUCUGAUCCCCAAGUGAAAGACAUGAAGACUAUCAGCCUGAGAAAUUUCAAUAAAAAAAUUCGCGAGGAUAGCCGUGUUAGCGUUAGUAUGGUACCCAUUGGUGAUGGCAUGACAAUCUGCCGUAAAAGGGAAUGAGGUUGGCCUGUUUCAUUCCGUUAAUCUUGAUAUGUUCAGUAAUUUAUGACCCAAACAAUUAGUCGAGGUUUCAAAUGUCUUUAUUUUCUUGUUUCCUAGAAAUGGGCUCAUAAUUGAUUUGUGGAUGA